GACGAACGCUGGCGGCGUGCUUAACACAUGCAAGUCGAACGGAAAGGCCUCUUUCGGGGGGUCUUCGAGUGGGGAACGGGUGAGUAACACGUGUGUAUCCUGCCCUUUUCUUUGGGAUAACUCCUCAAAACUGGGGCUAUAACCGCAUAGAGGCUCUCGCGCCACGGUGGGGGUUGGAAAGUUUUGGGGGGUGGGGGUGGGCUCGCGGCUUUUCAGCUUGUGGGUGGGGGGUUGGCUUACAAAGGGUUUGACGGGUAGCCGGCCUGGGAGGGGGACCGGCCACAUUGGGACUGAGAUACGGCCCAGAGUCCUACGGGAGGCAGCAGUGGGGAAUAUUGCACAAUGGGUGGGAGCCUGAUGCAGCAACGCCGUGGGCGGGAUGACGGCCUUCGGGUUGUAAACCGCUUUCGCUCAUGACGAAGCUUUGUGUGACGGUAGUGGGUAAAGAAGCACCGGCUAACUACGUG
This 467-nucleotide ribosomal RNA is filed under the name uncultured bacterium. RNAcentral describes it as "partial 16S ribosomal RNA". It matches the Rfam family "Bacterial small subunit ribosomal RNA", at positions 28 to 507 of the family's 1533-position model. The record is from RNAcentral.